RNAcentral lists this ribosomal RNA (162 nucleotides) under uncultured bacterium. Its description in RNAcentral is "partial 16S ribosomal RNA". It matches the Rfam family "Bacterial small subunit ribosomal RNA", at positions 393 to 539 of the family's 1533-position model. The record is from RNAcentral.
AACGCCGCGUGAGCGAUGAAGGCCUUCGGGUCGUAAAGCUCUGUUGUUAGGGAAGAACAAGUAUCGGAGUAACUGCCGGUACCUUGACGGUACCUAACCAGAAAGCCACGGCUAACUACGUGCCAGCCACUGCGGUGACUGAGCGGGCUGGCAAGGCGCAUA